Small nuclear RNA from Monodelphis domestica (gray short-tailed opossum), 106 nucleotides. The record is from Ensembl. NCBI's taxonomy places the organism in Eukaryota, Metazoa, Chordata, Mammalia, Didelphimorphia, Didelphidae.
GUGCUCAAUUUGUCGGGACAUACACACUAAACUGGAAUGAUACUGUAAAGAUUAGCAUGGCCCUGCACAAAGAUGACUGGAAAAUUUAUAGCAGUUCCCUAUUUUA